Molecule: long non-coding RNA, 827 nt
Organism: Panthera uncia (snow leopard)
Lineage: Eukaryota; Metazoa; Chordata; Mammalia; Carnivora; Felidae
Exons: 3
Source: RefSeq, a predicted model, not a curated record
UUCUGAUUUGCAAGGACAUUUGAAUUGGGGGGGGGGGGUUGACAUGCCCCACAGGACGUGUAUAAGCACCCAAGCUACCAUAUGUGCUCCCUCAACUGAAUGCAUGGGCCUUUAUGAGCUCAUUUAUUAAUCUGAACUCCUGAGCUAGCACCUCAAAGAGUCAUGGAAUGUUCUGGAAUGUUCUGGAAUCCAUUCUGAAGAGCCUGAGCUGCAGUCCAUCACAGUAGAACACAUUAGGAAGAACAUCGUCUGAAGUUCAUUUACAGACUCGCAAUGAAGGGCCUAAUUUCUCUCUGUCACAGCCAUCUGAUCUGCAAAACGAAGUAAUUCACCUUCUGAGCUCCGCCACGGAGGGGAUGAAAUGAAACAAGGGGCAUCUGGACCAACUACAACCAUACAGUGAGAUUCUUCAGUUUGGUUUUCUUCCCUUGUUAUGUACAGGAGAAAGAUACUAACAGAAAUAAAAUGCAAAUACCUACUUGGCGUGUAUCACCAAAAACAAAGCUCUAGAAGGGCAGGAUGCUGCCGACUGAUGCUGGAGUGUCUUAUGCACUGUGUGCCCCUUUGCUCUGGGCCAGGCUAAUCCUAUAAGUCUUCUGCCUAUGCUGUUGGAGGAAACGGAGGUCUCCUCCCCACUGGGCUUGUUACAGUGAUCGUUCCCAGGGCAGUUCGCUGAGUAAACACAGAUACACACGGAUGUCCUUCGAAGCAUACUCACAUCAGAUCUCAUCGGAACACAGAAUCUGAAACUCACCAGCCAGAGCCAAAACACCGGCUACAACUGAAGUUUAAAAUAACAAAGGUAAAAGUAUGGAUUUGCCCAGUUU